This is a long non-coding RNA of Onychostruthus taczanowskii (white-rumped snowfinch), 327 nucleotides long. RefSeq lists it as uncharacterized. NCBI's taxonomy places the organism in Eukaryota, Metazoa, Chordata, Aves, Passeriformes, Passeridae. The record is from RefSeq and is a predicted model, not a curated record. The transcript has 4 exons.
GUCAUCUCCUUGGGGCUUCUGGGGAAAAUCUACUCUGCCCUCUCCAAACUGCCAGUGACAUCUGAGCACUACGUGGAGCUGGAUCUGCAGAAUUCCCCUUUCCCAAGCACCUUCAUCGACUGGCUCCUUCAGACUGCAGGUGUCAAUCCCAGGAUCAAUCCAUAGCUGCAGGACUGACAGAGCCCUGGGCAACGCUUUGAACUGAUCAGAGUGAAUGCUAUCCUGCCUUGUAAUCUCCAAGUGGAUUUGGACGUGCUGCAUUGUGGGUGAGGUGGAUUUGAGGCAGAUUCACACCCUUCUGUUACUCCUUACAAUAAAAAUGAUUUU